AACGAACGCUGGCGGCAUGCCUAACACAUGCAAGUCGAACGAUCCCUUCGGGGAUAGUGGCGCACGGGUGCGUAACGCGUGGGAACCUGCCCUUAGGUACGGAAUAACUCAGAGAAAUUUGAGCUAAUACCGGAUAAUGUCUUCGGACCAAAGAUUUAUCGCCUUUGGAUGGGCCCGCGUUGGAUUAGCUAGUUGGUGGGGUAAAGGCCUACCAAGGCGACGAUCCAUAGCUGGUCUGAGAGGAUGAUCAGCCACACUGGGACUGAGACACGGCCCAGACUCCUACGGGAGGCAGCAGUGGGGAAUAUUGGACAAUGGGCGAAAGCCUGAUCCAGCAAUGCCGCGUGAGUGAUGAAGGCCUUAGGGUUGUAAAGCUCUUUUACCCGGGAUGAUAAUGACAGUACCGGGAGAAUAAGCCCCGGCUAACUCCGUG
This 433-nucleotide ribosomal RNA is filed under the name uncultured bacterium. RNAcentral describes it as "partial 16S ribosomal RNA". It matches the Rfam family "Bacterial small subunit ribosomal RNA", at positions 29 to 507 of the family's 1533-position model. The record is from RNAcentral.